This 1058-nucleotide long non-coding RNA is filed under the name Homo sapiens (human). RNAcentral's name for it is "non-protein coding lnc-SPC24-1:1". Lineage: Eukaryota; Metazoa; Chordata; Mammalia; Primates; Hominidae. The record is from RNAcentral.
AGUCCUUCGAAAGUGUCGCCAGGGCAGGCGACUUGAUUUGUUGUAUUUGGGUCUCCGGUGAAGAGCUGACGCCCCCUCAAAAUUGGAAACGCAUCUUCUGAAAGAUCCUCCUGAAAUUUCUCGAUGUUUAACUGUUAACAUUUUGCUGUUGUUGUCCACAGAAGGAUAACAACAGCCUUUCAAGAUCCUCCAAUAGCCUAAUGCCAUUGUCCUCUCUGCCUCAAAAGGAAAACACUAAAAAUGUUGGGAACUUCCGCCACUUUCUAUAUUUGCCUUUUCCUUUCUAGGAAUUGUGUAUAGAUUUUUAGCUUCCUUUCGUUGUAUAUUGUUUUUACAUUGUUAUUCCAAAUCACCUAAUAGACACUGAUCAAUCAGGAAUUUAAAUAAAAUCUUCACAAAAGUACAGCCAAAAAAAUAUUUUUUGUUUUGUGGGAUCCCGCCUUUGGCUGAGUAUAAACAUCUGAAAAAUCAAUUGUACGGAUACCUGGAGUCUGGACGUAAAUAUUGAUUUCUCCCCUUAGGAGAAGGAGUUGAACAAACAGAAGGGCGGUUUCCUCUCCCUCAAAGCAAAAUCAAAACAAAACAGGGCUUUCACAGUUGAACUUGAACCCCUAAGCCACAGAGAGCUGGUGGAGACCAACUUUUAGAAUUGAGUCUCUUUGGGGACUCAUGGGGUUGCCAGAGGCCUCUUGCCAAAAAGGCACAUGUGAGAAACUUGCCUGAACCCCACACAGGGCUGGGCAGUCUUGGCGGUUCCCCCAGGAAUAAGCUGGAUUUCUCUGGGAUUUUGCAAACUGACUUUGGCAGGCAGUGCUAACCUCUCAGCAGGAUUUUAGGGAAACCUAGGAGACCAGGCAGAAAAGGGACAAAUUGAACUCUCAGAAGGACAAAAAAAAAGAUUAAUCAGGGAAAAUAAUUUUUUAAUUAUUUUUAUUAUAAUUUUUUAAAUAAUUAUUUAUUAUUUAUUUAUCAUUAUUUCCAGCUGUCACUCAGGCUGGACUGCAGUGGCGUGAUCACAGCUCUCUGCAGCGUCAACCCUGGGCUCAAGGAAUCCUCCC